RNAcentral lists this ribosomal RNA (253 nucleotides) under uncultured prokaryote. RNAcentral's name for it is "partial 16S ribosomal RNA". It matches the Rfam family "Bacterial small subunit ribosomal RNA", at positions 525 to 777 of the family's 1533-position model. The record is from RNAcentral.
ACGUAGGUGGCAAGCGUUGUCCGGAUUUACUGGGCGUAAAGAGCGCGCAGGCGGUCGUUCAAGUCGAGUGUGAAAGCCCCGGGCUUAACUUGGGAAUUGCGCUCGAAACUACUUGGCUGGAGUGUGGCAGAGGAAGGUGGAAUUCCACGUGUAGCGGUGAAAUGCGUAGAGAUGUGGAGGAACACCAAUGGCGAAGGCAGCCUUCUGGGCCAACACUGACGCUCAUGCACGAAAGCGUGGGGAUCAAACAGGA